ACAUUGCGAGAUAUGCAGACAGGAUCCCAGCCUGCAGGAAGCUUCAGUCCAGCAUCAGCACUAGAAGGGCAGCAGUUUAGAAAGCCCAGUCCCAAGGCGCAGCGUGCGUCAGCAAGACAGCAGAAGCAGGAGGAGAGCUGGCGGGAAGACAUGCACCCCUUGAAGACCCAGAGAGAGGCCGUCUGUCUACCGCGUAGCAGUUACAUCAGACUGAGACACUUCCUGUUUACAGGAGACUAUAAAAUUCCUGCCCCGUGCUCAUUUGGGGCUGACGCCAUUUUAGGCCUCAGCCCAUCUGCACCCAGGCGCUCACUGAAACAGUGUGUUGCUCCACACCGCCUUGUUUUGCUUGUUGGCGCGCUCUCAGGGUUCCGACCAAUCCAAGAGCCUUGCAGAAAGCAUUAACGUGCUUUUCUCUUUGGCAGAGUUUUUCUUUGCUCUGAUCUUGGAGACAUCCCUCUGCCUAGUGGAAACAUAAGGAAUACAGAAAGAAUGCAAGGAGAUAGACCAACGUGAGAUUCUCCUUCAUGCACUCAAGAGAAAGAUGUUGCAGGAAGAGCUAGUCUUUCAGGCUGGGCUGGUGACCUGAGAAAGAAUGUCCAGCUUUUCUUCUCCACUUGGCAUAUCAAGAGCCAGGCGUGGAAGACUAAAACAGGAAAUGUUUAUAAAAACUGUUCAGCGGUUCGCCAACAAGAAGUGGUAAAGUAGCAAAAAUGGGGAUGGAGAUGCCAGGAGGAAAGAUGCCAGGGGUAAAGUGGGAAAAUGGGAACCUGAAGCCAGGAGGUCAAGCCAAGCCAACAGGUGUUCUGUUUUUCAAUGAGGAGGUGGGGCACAGGAUGGAUGGAAACUUUCCACAGUCACAGAACUAAUAAGUGGUGCUGAGGACUCAAACCCGGGGAAGCCCACUCUAGAACCCAUGCUGGUCAUCCAUAUCCCCAAGGCCCUGGUCAGAACACAGCUAAGCAGAUGGCUUGGGUCAUCAGGACGUCCAUUACAUCCAAAGGAAGACAGCCUGUGACGUUUCAAAAGCAAAAGUCCCCUACCAGCCAGUGAAGCUACCUGAUUUCUCAGUAUCUUACGCCCAGUGACACGAUCUACCCUCAAAACUUAAAAAAAAAAGGGAAACAUAAACACAUAACAGCAGCAGCAAUAAUUAAAGAUGAGAUGAGAACAAUUAAGAAAAAAGGAAAGGUCUCCUGUGACUGUUUUAUUUUUAGGGAAACAGAGAGGAAGAAGAAUGAUUUUUCUUUUGAUGACUCUAUAUCCAACUCUGAGGUUUGAUUAAAGAAAUGACCUUGAACCACAGCAAAGAAAAAUAAAAGACAAUUUCCAUAUUGUCAUUCAGAUUAGCUUUCAUGCACGUACCACAAGAAAAAUCAGAUGUCCUGGAUUUGUCCUGUGUUCCUCAUCAGCAGAGGAAGCCACUAGCAGCCCUUACGAGAAUCAAGGCUACUCUACUGGAACUCUUCUUACAUAGCCAAAAAUGUGUGAAUUCCAUUUACUGUGAUUUUUAACAAAAAUGUGUUUAUUUAAAUGUGUUUAUUGUGGUACUCGCUUGCUUAAUUAUCUUAUUUAUUUUAUUUGUUGUAUUUUUGAGACAGGUUCUCACUCUGUAGCCCAGACUAGAGUGCAGUGAUGCGAUCCUAGCUCACUGUAGCCUCAACCUCCUGGGCUCAAGCAAUCCUCCUGCCUCAGCCUCCAGAAUAGUUGGGACUACAGCUAUGUGCCAGCACACCCAGCUAAUUUUUUUUUUUUUUUUUUUUUUUUUUUUGUGGAGACGGGGUCUUGCUGUGUUGAGCAGGCUGGUCUCAAACUCCUGGCCUCAAGUGAUCCUCCUGCCUCACCCUCCCAAAGUGCUGGGAUUACAGGUGUGAGCCAUCACUACCCUUGGCCUGUUUGCUUAAUUAUCUGUGGAAUACAGAAAAAGAAAAAAAUCAAUACUCUUUAAAAAAAUAAUCUAGUCCUUAAAACACAUUUUUAGACCGGCCAUAUUGGCUCACACCUGUAAUCCCAGCACUUUGGGAGGCCAAAGUGGGUGGAUCACUUGAGGUGAGGAGUUCAAGACCAGCCUGGCCAACAUGGCAAAACCCCAUCUCUACUAAAAAUACAAAAAUUAGCCAGGUGUGGUGGUGAGCGCCUGUAAUCUCAGCUACUCAGGAAGCUGAGGCAAAAGAAUCUCUUGAAUCCAGGAGGUGGAGGUUGCAAGGAGCUGAGAUUGCACCACUGCACUCCAGCCUGGGUGACAGAAUGAGACUGUCUCCAAAAAAAACUAAAAAAUAAAAUACAUUUUAAAUGAUUUUCAGUGACUAGUUUUUGGAGACCUUUACAUGGCUGCUUUACUCAUGUGGAUGAAUGUGUUUAUCAAUGUCCCUGGGGAAAAUAAAAGCAGCGUUAUUUGCCUUACUUCCCUACCAGAUUUUUGAUAUUUUCUCAAAAUCAGCUGGGUGCAGGAGCAUGAGCCUGUAACCCCAAGCUCUACUCAGGAGGCUGAGGUGGGAGGAUCAGUUGAGCCCAGGAGGUCAAGGCUGCAGUAAGCUAUCACUGCACCACUGCACUCCAGCCUGGGUGACAGAGCAAGACUCUGUUUCUUUAAAAACAAAACAAAACAAAAAAAUCUUAUAUUUUCUCAAAAUCGGAGUCCACUCAUGGGAUGUGUCAUUUUAUUAGCUAUAUAUAUACAUCUAUGCCGUUUGGAUUUGAAUGUCAUCCAUUAUCUGUUGCAGUGGGUUGAAUGGUGUCCCCUUCCCCCAAAAAAAGACAUGCCCAAUCCCUAAGUCCCAGUACCUGUGAAUGCGGCCUUGCUUGGAAAUCAUAUCUUUGCAGAUGUCAUGAAGAGAAGGAUCUCAAGUUGAGAUUAUCCUACAUUAGUUGUGUGAGCCCUGAAUGCAAUGAACCUUAUAAGACAAAAGGAGAAACAGAUACAGAAAGAGACAUGGGAGAAGGUGAUGUGACCACAUAGGCAGAGAUGGGAGUGACGCAGCAGCAAGCCAGGGAGCCCUACGGAUGGCCGGCCGCCACCAAAAGCUGGGAGAAAGGCAGGGAACAGAUUCUCCCUGAGAGCCUUUAGAGCAAGCACAGCCCUGCUCACACCAUGAUUUCAGACUUCCAGCCUCCAGGACUGUGCAAGAAUAAAUGUCUGUUGUUUUAAGCCACCGAGCUUGUGGAACUUUGUAACGGCAGCCCUGGGAAACUAACACCUGUGGGUCGAGGCAGGGAAAGAAAUGCUGCCCCAGUAUAGAGAAGAUUUGCUCCAGGUUCUAGGAGAGCCAAAAAGCAGCAUCUCAUGGCCGUCAGCAAACCCCUGGGAGGACGGCAGACCCCAGGGGGCGAGCAAACUUGCUGGUGGUUGGAGCAUGCCUGAUGCUAUCACUCUGUGGGUACCAAGUACCAGGCAAACAGGUAGGCCUUGUUCAAAGCCAGUGAUGGAGAGAGGCACUCUCCAACAGAGCCAUCGAACAGGGCACGUACUGUAUCAGCUCUAGCAGAGGCCAGCAAACUUUUCUGUAAAGGGCUUGAUAGUAAGUAUUUUCAGCUUUGUGAACCACAAACCGGAGUAGUCUCUGUCACACCUCCUCAGCUCUGCUGUUGGGAAGUGAAACCAACCAUAUGCAACUGCCAAACAAAUACACGUGAAAAUCUUUAUUUACACAUGCUUCGCUCUAUACCCAAAAAAAUGUAAAGCAGGGACUCAAACAGAUACUUGUAUAUGAAUGUUAUUCUCACAAUAGCCAAGAGGUGGAAAUAACCCAGGUGUUCAUCAAUAGAUGAAUGGACAAACGAAAUGUGUAGAUACACGUACAUGCAAAGGAAUAGUAUACAGCCUUAAAAAGGAAUGAAAUUCUGACACGUGCUACAACGUGGGUGAACCCUGAACGCAUGAUGCUAAGUAAAAUAAGCCAGACACAAAAGUAAAAAGAUCGUAUGACUGCACUUACAUGAAGUACCUAGAACAGGCAAAUUCAUAGAGAUAGAAAGUAGAAGUUACUAGAAGCUCAGGAAAGUGGGAAAUGGAAAGUUACCGAUUCACGGUACAGAGUUCCUAUUUGGGGUGCUGAAAAAGUUUUGAAAUUAGAUAGUGGGGAUGGUUAUACAAAGUGUGAAUAUACUCAAUGCCACUGAAUUGUACAAUUUAAAAUGGUUAAAAUAGUAAAUUUUAUGUUAUACAUAUUUUGUCAUAAUAAAGUUUGCAUUUAGAAAAAAAAAAUUUCUUUCAAACAGAGUCUCACUCUGUCACCCAGGCUGGAGUGCAGUGGCAUCAUCUCGGCUCACUGCAACCUCUGCCUCCCAGGUUCAUUCUUUCUGCCUCAGCUUCCUGAGUAGCUGGAAUUACAGGCAUGCAUCACCACAACCAGCUAAUUUUUGUAUUUUUAGUAGAAAUGGGGUUUUGCCAUUUUGGCCAGGCUGGUCUCGAACUUCUGACCUCAAGUGAUCCACCCAGCUCAGCCUCCCAAAGUGCUGGGAUUACAGGCGUGAGCAACCAUACCCGGCUUAGGAAAAAAAAAAAUUAUUUACAAAAAUAGAAACUGGCCAUAGUUUGCCAACUCCUGGUAUAGAGUUUUCUAUAACAUCAAAGUGGCUCUUGGUAUGUGACUGUUCCAGAAUUAUCCCAGCAUAGCAGAUAUGAGGUGGUACUUCCUAUGAGCUCUGCCAUCCUCAGUCCCUGGACUGUGUCAUUUCCUUUGGGCAUGUGCACAUACACCCCUGGAACAUGGAGGAAGGCAUAUUAAUAGCGGGUAGUAUGGAUUUAAAAGCCUCAGAACCGUGUCAUUGAUGCUAUGCUCUGUUCCUGGAAGUGAAAAUGCACAGAGGAACCAGCUGGUACAGUAUGAUGACAACAGAUUUAGGGUACCCAGUCACCAUUCACUGCAUGGCCUCAGUCACGUUAUCCCUGCUCUCUGGGCCUCAGUUUAAUCAGAUGAUUCUCAUUUGCUGGCUAUAUGAUGUCCUGCUCUGGAAAAGCAUGUAGCUUAGAAAUGAGACUGCAUGUGAAGGUAUUACACCACCCCCCGUGGAUGGCUGCCACCAUCCUUAAGCAUAUUUUCAUCCAGAAGAAUAAACAUCCUUAGAGAAAUACACAUGAAAUGCAAAGCUUGAAGUCAUAACUCAAUGCAUAACAACCUGCAAACCAGUACAGGCUUAUGAGCUAGCUAAUAAAAUAAAUCAUAGUCAUGUUUUUCAAAUGACUUUUCAUGUGUUGUCAUUACUUCUCCGACGUACUGUAAAUUAAC
Molecule: long non-coding RNA, 5228 nt
Filed under: Homo sapiens (human)
Lineage: Eukaryota; Metazoa; Chordata; Mammalia; Primates; Hominidae
Description: HSALNT0403982
Source: RNAcentral